UGCUGCCUCCCGUAGGAGUAAGGGCCGUCUCUCAGUCCCCUUGUGGCCGUCCACCCUCUCAGGCCGGCUACCUAUCAUCGCCUUGGUAAGCUCUUACCUUACCAACUAGCUAAUAGGACGCAAAGCUCUCCUUUAGUGCCGUAGCUUUCAUUUGUAUAUCAUGCGAUAUACUAACUUAUCCAGUAUUAUCAGAAGUUUCCCUCUGUUAUCCCAGUCUAAAGGGCAAGUUCUUUACGCGUUACUCACCCGUCCGCCAUGAGUCCAUUUAGCAAGCUAAACUUCCUCAUAGACUUGCAUGUGUUAAGCAUUCUGUCAGCGUUUAUCCUGAGCCAAAUCGAAUUCCCG
Molecule: ribosomal RNA, 345 nt
Filed under: uncultured Leptotrichia sp.
Lineage: Bacteria; Fusobacteriati; Fusobacteriota; Fusobacteriia; Fusobacteriales; Leptotrichiaceae
Description: partial 16S ribosomal RNA
Source: RNAcentral